AAGAAGGAAUUCAAAAUGCAUUGUCUUGCCAACAUACGUGCCACAAUGUUUUUCUUUAGUGUCGCAGUAUGGGUGCAAGAAGUGUUGGAAAAUAAGAUUUUUUUAAAAAUAAAAUUUUCCUACACACCAGAUAGAUGUCCUGGUGUCUUGAAGAAGUGUCAGUGUCUAAUUUCUGUAGAUAUUUAGGUUUCUGGGAGCAAUAUAUAUAUAUAUAUAUGUUUGAUAGAAAAAGAAACUUUAUUAAAAAGCAGAAGGAGAAAAAGAUACAAAAAGAGGAGAACAAGAAGUCUUCCUCCAAAAGAUAAAAGAAAAAGAAACUGAGUCAUCUUUAAAAAGCACUCUAAUCUCUACUGAUAUCUUGAAAGCAGCACCCCACAAACAGCCAGCACCAUAAGCUUAAGGGGAAGAAAUUAAUUCUGUCCCAAAUGAUUCCCUCUGAAAAUCUCUACCGAAAGCUUGUUUCAUUUUUUCCAUGUGAUCCAGAUUAAGAAUUUAAAAUGCAGUACUAGUAAUCAUAUAAAACGUCGUGUUGUGCACUUUGCAACAAGAUCUUUUAUCUAUUCUUUGGGUUGGAGCAUGUGGAGUAUGUUUGCUGUAUAGAAGUUUUUCUUCUUCUUUUGGGGUUAUGACACGGAUUUGGGAACUGCAGUUUGAGGUUUCAGUUUUUGCUAUGUUUGCUGUAUAGAAGUUUUUCUUCUUCUUUUGGGGUUAUGACAUGGAUUUGGGAACUGCAGUUUGAGGUUUCAGUUUUUGCGCCGUGAUUUGUUGUUUAUGGUUGGGCAGAAUGCUUUAAGGAUCUUGUUCCCUCCACCAUACCAUAGCAUUUACUCUAGGAUAGGAUAUUUUUUUGGUCCAAACUUUUUCUUCAGGGGUUCUUAGAGGAAUGAACUUGCUGAUUUUCAGGGUGAUUACUCUGUUUUUCAUUCCCCAUUUGCUUUUAAAAUUGUUCUUUUUUUAAUAGCAAAAGAAGAAUAUUUCAUUAAAAGAUUAGGAAUGCACAAAGAGGAGAGUAAGGCAUCCUUGUAGAAAAAACCUAGAAAAAACGAGAAAGGAAAAAAAGAAAAAACGAAAAUAGCCACCACAGGGUAAAUUACAGAAAACACAAAAUCAAGCCAGAAAAUGGAGUCAAAUACAUUGAAUAUCUGAGGAGCUCACUCCUUUAAAGCACCUGUAGGCAAACAUACUAAAGUGAAGGCAGAUAGUGAAUCUUCCCAAACCAGCAAAGAAUUCAGAUUCUUCCCCAGAAAAAUAUCUGCAUUACGCCCCAACCAUAAACUCCACAUCACUGCAAAAUAAGCUCAUUUGCAAGGGCUUCCUGAUCAUUUCUCUUUCCAAAACCAAAAUAGGAACUGCCAAAAAAUCCUCUGCUGUUUCCAGGCAAAACUAGCUCUCUCCCAAUAUACCAAGUAGGCAACAUUUUCCAGGCAAAGUCGUAGUGCAGAAAUAAAUGUGACACUGGUUCUGAACUGUUAUAGCAAAGAAAACAAACAUCUAGGAAAAAAAUGCCUUCAAUGAUCACCUACUCUGCAGCAAGUGAUUGGUGACUCUAUUAAGCACGACCAAUCACACAUAAAAGCCUUAACUUUUGGGGGGAACUUUGGCUUUCCAUAUAUUUUUUUUUGAAGUGGGAAAGAAAUAUUAGAAUGGGUCAAAAAAUUGCAUUAGGAUUUGCAAGAAACAACCCCCAAAGAAUCUGAAGACCAAGAAUGUCUAUCCGCUCCCAAGGAAAUAUGUAGGAUUUACAAAAUUGCAAGAGUAUUUACAAAAUUGUCAUGCAUACAAUGAACCCACAACAACAACACACAAAGAGGAGGAUUCUCCCCUGCGCCGUUGUAGCAUUUCUUGCGGCUUGGGAUAAUACAUUUCUCAUGUAUAUGUGCUGUGUUCCGUGUUUACCUUGUCCUUAUUGUCUUAAGUGUUAACCCAAAUGGAGGAUGAUAUGUUCACAACAAUAAUAGCAUAAUGGACUAAUGAGCAGGCUGCACAUAAUCUUCCACAUCUUUGCGGAAAUUCUAUUAUGCAGUAUGGACAUGUGUGUUAAAUUUGCAGUCAUAUCGACUCCUACUUGGGGCUCUUGCAGCAAACCCUGUUCUUAUCCUCCUACUAUCAUGUCUGCAGUGAAAAAUCCUGGAAUAGUUGGUCCCCUUGAGAUUCCCUCGUAAUCAUGGUUUCAAAAUGAGAUUCGGAUUGGAGGAUCUUAUGAUCCUAUGAUCCAGAUUUACCCAUGCAAUCCAGAGUCAGGAUCAUACGAUCAGGUCUCAACAAGAACUCUGCUGUCAAGAACUUUGCAAACUGAACUCCAGAAGACCAGAACUGACUGCUAACUGCCAGUUACAAUUUUUGAAUUUUUAUUGCUCGAAUAGUCUAACUACAGUUGCAGUUUUGGCAAAGAAGCAGAGAAGCUUUUUAAUAGCUUACAGUCCUAAAAUGUUUUUUAAACCUCUUAUACUCAGUUACUCACCUUGUUUUUAGCCUUAAAAAAUUGUCCUAAAACUCCACAUACAUAAAUUUUUAAUAGUUGGCUGGUGUGGAAAGCAGAGUCAUUUUUUGUGUUCGUGCCUGGUGGCGCAAAAGGUGAUGGGCCUGGCUGACCAUUAGUAACUUUUCUUUUUCACUCCAUCCAAUUGAACUUCAUUCCUUCUAGGAGUAUCCAGCCACAAACCAUGUCAUCCAAAAUAUUAUGGGUUACAGUAUCCCGUGCACAGACCUCCUCCAGAGUUGUUGGUAACUUGGUAUAAUACAUCCAUCUGUUGAUUAAUGCCAGCCAAAUCUACACCCAAUUCCCCCAACUCAAAAAUAGAUAAACCCUCCAAACCUUCAAGCAGAGAAGCAUAUAGGAAAUAUCCUGAAGUGCAUCAAAAGAAUCAGAAACCCAUUCCAUUUUUUCGCGAAUCUCAUCCUACAAUAAACCACCAUUCCAAGCAAACUCAUUGUCGUACUCUCCUCUGCGAAGAUAUUCCUCCAUUUUUUUUUUCCUUCUAAAUUGAUUUCUUCCUCUUUCUAAGUUAGACUUAGAGCGAUUCUCAAAUUCCCCACCCAUCAUAAAGCUUUCCAGCAUCAUCAAUUUUUUUCAAUGUUAUUCUCUGCUGUUUUGAAUUCAUAAUUUUUUUUAACAAGCAAACUUUUCAUACCUUUCCCUUCCUCACUCUUUGAAUUCAUAUGUUAUUUUUUCCAUCCUUAUUUUUCCCCAAAAA
Malania oleifera is the source of this 3194-nucleotide long non-coding RNA. RefSeq lists it as uncharacterized. The record is from RefSeq and is a predicted model, not a curated record. The transcript is spliced from 2 exons. NCBI's taxonomy places the organism in Eukaryota, Viridiplantae, Streptophyta, Magnoliopsida, Santalales, Ximeniaceae.